CACAGUGUAACUACACUUGUCUUUUAUAUGUUGCAGUAAUUGAAUCUUUUGAUUCAAUUGGUUGCAUAAAUUAAAGUAAGUAAAUAUGACCUAUUUUCCUGCUCCACAUACUUAGCUAGCAAUUUGCCAGUUAGCUUCCCAGUCUGAACUUCUGGGCAAUGUCUUGAUUCAGUCAAAUUUUCUAUCUUGUAUCUCCUGAACUCCAAUAUUCUACUACAUCCACUCUGAAUGUUUUGCUUGCUGGUCUUCAGCAUGCUCUGAAUGCAGUAUCUGGUUUCUCUUACUUUAACCCGCCCAACUUGAAUGUGAUUCCCUUUUGAUUCCCUCCCAGUGAGGCGGUGCUUCACAAAGCAAACUGUUUGUCAAACUGUUGAUCUGUGGCUGUUUUAGAAGAUGAGGAGACAUGGUGACUGAGUUUUAGACAGUACUAGCCAGCUCAUGCAGCUUGUUUUUACUAGAUGGCAGUCCUAAAAGUACAUAUCUUUAAAAUAUGAAUAAAUACGUACAAUUCCAUAAUUAUUCGAUCCAGCGGUUAUAGAAGUUUUGUAAUAAUGCAAUUCAGGGAUUUUACAUUUUCUGGACUAAAGGAGGAUUUCAGUUCAACACCUGUGGUUUCUUAAUUUUUUCACUUAGUUCCACUACUGCUGUGGAUCUUGUAGUUAAUGUUUAAAGCCAGCACGGAGUCUGAAGCGAUGGAGGACAUUUACGUCAAUAUGGAACCUGUUGGACAAACUGCAUCUAAUCACACAGGUAAGAACGAAGUUACAGAGAAAUCUAGUAUGUAUUUAAUUCAAUUUUGCUAAGGUUGAGGUUUUUGUUAAGGUUCGAGCAUCUCCAAAGAGAGGCUCUGCCUCCAUGCGGCUGUAUCUUUGGGAAUCCUGAAUGUUUUACUUUUGGCUGAACUCAUCGCCCUCAGUGUACACACUCAUGACAUGACAGCAGAUUUUUCUGAUAUCAGCAACAUUCCGACCGAGCAGAACAGCAACAGCAAGUUUCCCUCCAUGAACGCUAACUUCACUGAAAUGGCUCC
This is a long non-coding RNA of Xiphophorus couchianus (Monterrey platyfish), 1030 nucleotides long. RefSeq lists it as uncharacterized. The record is from RefSeq and is a predicted model, not a curated record. Lineage: Eukaryota; Metazoa; Chordata; Actinopteri; Cyprinodontiformes; Poeciliidae. The transcript is spliced from 3 exons.